GGUUUAUGGUUCAAAUGAUUUAUCGCCAUAGGAUGGGACUGCGGUCUAUCAGCUUGUUGGUGAGGUAAUGGCCCACCAAGGCUAUAACAGAUACGGGCUCUGAGAGGAGGGGCCCGGAGAUGGGUACUGAGACACGGACCCAGGUCCUAUGGGGCGCAGCAGGCGAGAAACCUUUGCAAUGUGCGAAAGCACGACAAGGUUAAUCCGAGUGAUUCCUGCUAAAGGAAUCUUUUGUUAGUCAUAAAACCACUGAUGAAUAAGGGGUGGGCAAGUUCUGGUGUCAGCCGCCGCGGUAAUACCAGCACCUCGAGUGGUCAGGAGGUUUAUUGGGCCUAAAGCAUCCGUAGCCGGCUGUUCAAGUUUCCGGUUAAAUCCACACGCUUAACGUAUGGGCUGCCGGAAAUACUGUUCAGCUAGGGAGUGGGAGAGGUAGACGGUACUCGAUAGGAAGGGGUAAAAUCCUUUGAUCUAUUGAUGACCACCUGUGGCGAAGGCGGUCUACCAGAACACGUUCGACGGUGAGGGAUGAAAGCUGGGGGAGCAAACCGGAUUAGAUACCCGGGUAGUCCCAGCUGUAAACGAUGCAGACUCGGUGAUGCAUUGGCUUGUGGCCAGUGCAGUGCCGCAGGGAAGCCGUUAAGUUUGCCGCCUGGGAAGUACGUACGCAAGUAUGAAACUUAAAGGAAUUGGCGGGGGAGCACCACAAGGGGUGAAGCCUGCGGUUCAAUUGGAGUCAACGCCAGAAAUCUUACCCGGGGAGACAGCAGAAUGAAGGUCAAGCUGAAGACUUUACCAGACAAGCUGAGAGGUGGUGCAUGGCCGUCGCCAGCUCGUGCCGUGAGGUGUCCUGUUAAGUCAGGUAACGAGCGAGACCCUUGCCUCUAGUUGCUACCAUUACUCUCUGGAGUAGUGGGGCGAAUUAGCGGGACCGCCACAGUAAUUG
This 943-nucleotide ribosomal RNA is filed under the name uncultured archaeon. RNAcentral describes it as "bacterial SSU rRNA". It matches the Rfam family "Archaeal small subunit ribosomal RNA", at positions 177 to 1119 of the family's 1478-position model. The record is from RNAcentral.